This is a non-coding RNA of Pelobates cultripes (western spadefoot toad), 218 nucleotides long. Lineage: Eukaryota; Metazoa; Chordata; Amphibia; Anura; Pelobatidae. The record is from the annotation of a GenBank genome assembly.
UCGUGUUCGUAUGUCGAAUGGCGGCCACCUAGUAGCAAUUAAGUUGCGGUUUUCUCUGUGUUCUAAUUGCUACUUGCUACCCAGGGUGUGUGGUCCCCGUUCGGUACACGAAUACAUUCAUUCUCAACAGUUUGAACCGAACAAUAUAGACAUUAAAAUAGCAGGGAGAGGAUUAAACUGAAGCAUAUAGGCAAAUACAUAAAAGUCCUUCACAGUGC